GUGGGGAAUCUUGCGCAAUGGGCGAAAGCCUGACGCAGCCAUGCCGCGUGAAUGAUGAAGGUCUUAGGAUUGUAAAAUUCUUUCACCGGGGACGAUAAUGACGGUACCCGGAGAAGAAGCUCCGGCUAACUUCGUGCCAGCAGCCGCGGUAAUACGAAGGGGGCUAGCGUUGCUCGGAAUUACUGGGCGUAAAGGGCGCGUAGGCGGACAGCUUAGUCAGAGGUGAAAGCCCAGGGCUCAACCUUGGAAUUGCCUUUGAUACUGGCUGUCUUGAGUAUGGGAGAGGUGAGUGGAACUCCGAGUGUAGAGGUGAAAUUCUUAGAUAUUCGGCAGAACACCAGUGGCGAAGGCGACUCACUGGCCCAAUACUGACGCUGAGGCGCGAAAGCGUGGGGAGCAAACAGGAUUAGAUACCCUGGUAGUCC
Molecule: ribosomal RNA, 425 nt
Filed under: uncultured bacterium
Lineage: Bacteria
Description: partial 16S ribosomal RNA
Rfam family: Bacterial small subunit ribosomal RNA
Source: RNAcentral